UGUGUGCUCCUCCAGGAAACCUCAAACU
Molecule: non-coding RNA, 28 nt
Filed under: Mus musculus (house mouse)
Lineage: Eukaryota; Metazoa; Chordata; Mammalia; Rodentia; Muridae
Source: RNAcentral